Long non-coding RNA from Scatophagus argus, 803 nucleotides. RefSeq lists it as uncharacterized. The transcript has 4 exons. The record is from RefSeq and is a predicted model, not a curated record. Lineage: Eukaryota; Metazoa; Chordata; Actinopteri; Scatophagidae.
ACUGUUGCCACAAAGUUGGAAGCAUAGCAUUGUCCAACAUGUGUUGGUAUGCUCAAGCUUUAAGAUUUCCCUUCACUGGAAAUAGGGGGCUGAGCCCAACUACUAACAUCUCCAAUCACACCUGAAUUCAGUAAUGAAGAGGUGUUCCCAAUGCUUCUGUCUGUGAACACGCAUGUCUUGCCGUGGUUGUUCGCAUGCCACAGUGGUAGCGCUUUGCUUUACCUGCAGAGGUGAUAUUAAUAAUGUCCAAGAAGGUACACAAAUGCUCCAGGUGAGGCUCGAACUCACAACCUCGGCAUUGCUCCACGGUGUACUGCCGUAUAAGUACCGCGCGCUAACCGAUUGCGCCACUGGAGCUCGUUUAAAGCGUACCUACGUCACUCUUAUGAGUACCUGUCGUGGGUGAGUUGACGAUUUUGUUAUGUUUUCUGUGUAUGAGGGGGGAAAAAACAAGCGGGAGGACAAGUGAAGAAACACACACGCACGGCGGCCAUCUGAAAGUUGUAGUACAGGAUGCACAGUACUUCACAUGGCGUCGCUCUUCAGAAGUUUUUCCACCGGAUGGACGAGAGGAUGGUGUGGAUGAAGUAGAGGAGUGUGGCCAGAAGGUGAUGUAAGCCAAAUCCACCCCUGCACUGAGGUAGAAGAAGGCAGCCAGGCCGUGUCUUACAGCAGCAGCCCAGCCAGAGCUGUUCUUAUGGCCUCCCGCAGCAAAGAUGAUCAUCCAGAGAAAGGUCAUGACGAAGCAGAAGAUCGAGACAAACAUCACCCAGCCCAGAGGGUUCGGCGGGUUCACGUGAGUC